GCAGCGGUGGUUCAGUGGUAGAAUUCUUGCCUUCCCUGCAGGAGGCCUGGGUUUAAUUCCAGGCCAAUGCA
Molecule: transfer RNA, 71 nt
Filed under: Loxodonta africana (African savanna elephant)
Lineage: Eukaryota; Metazoa; Chordata; Mammalia; Proboscidea; Elephantidae
Rfam family: tRNA
About the family: Transfer RNA (tRNA) molecules are approximately 80 nucleotides in length. Their secondary structure includes four short double-helical elements and three loops (D, anti-codon, and T loops).
Source: Rfam by way of RNAcentral